GACGAACGCUGGCGGCGUGCUUAACACAUGCAAGUCGAACGGAAAGGCCCUGCUUUUGUGGGGUGCUCGAGUGGCGAACGGGUGAGUAACACGUGAGUAACCUGCCCUUGACUUUGGGAUAACUUCAGGAAACUGGGGCUAAUACCGGAUAGGAGCUCCUGCUGCAUGGUGGGGGUUGGAAAGUUUCGGCGGUUGGGGAUGGACUCGCGGCUUAUCAGCUUGUUGGUGGGGUAGUGGCUUACCAAGGCUUUGACGGGUAGCCGGCCUGAGAGGGUGACCGGCCACAUUGGGACUGAGAUACGGCCCAGACUCCUACGGGAGGCAGCAGUGGGGAAUAUUGCACAAUGGGCGGAAGCCUGAUGCAGCAACGCCGCGUGCGGGAUGACGGCCUUCGGGUUGUAAACCGCUUUCGCCUGUGACGAAGCGUGAGGGACGGUAAUGGUAAAGAAGCACCGGCUAACUACGUG
RNAcentral lists this ribosomal RNA (467 nucleotides) under uncultured bacterium. RNAcentral's name for it is "partial 16S ribosomal RNA". It matches the Rfam family "Bacterial small subunit ribosomal RNA", at positions 28 to 507 of the family's 1533-position model. The record is from RNAcentral.